RNAcentral lists this ribosomal RNA (435 nucleotides) under Eupholus cuvierii. RNAcentral's name for it is "Eupholus cuvieri partial 16S ribosomal RNA". The stretch from base 286 to 435 matches the Rfam family "Bacterial large subunit ribosomal RNA", at positions 2473 to 2622 of the family's 2925-position model. The record is from RNAcentral. Lineage: Eukaryota; Metazoa; Arthropoda; Insecta; Coleoptera; Curculionidae.
UGAAAGCUGGUAUGAAAGGUUGGAUGAGAAAAUUACUGUCUCUAUCUAAAUUUUUUAGAAUUUUAUUUUUAAGUAAAAAAGCUUAAAUUUAAAUAGAAGACGAGAAGACCCUAUAGAGUUUUAUAGAUUUUAAUUUAGAGACUUUUUGGUAUUAAUAAAUUUCUAAAUUAAUAUGUAUUUAGUUGGGGUGAUUGAAAAAUUAAAAAAACUUUUUUUAUGAAAAAUAACAUUUAUUUAUGAUAAAAUGAUCCUUAUUUAAAGAUUAAAAGAAAAAAUUACCUUAGGGAUAACAGCGUAAUUUUUUUAAAGAGUUCAAAUCGAAAAAAAAGAUUGCGACCUCGAUGUUGGAUUAAAAUAAAAUUUUGGUGUAGGGGCUAAAGUAUUUGGGUCUGUUCGACCCUUAAAAUUUUACAUGAUCUGAGUUUAAACCGGUGU